GACAGAGGGUGCAAGCGUUGUUCGGAAUUACUGGGCGUAAAGCGCGCGUAGGCGGCCUUUUAAGUCGGGUGUGAAAGCCCAUGGCCUAACCAUGGAAGUGCACUCGAAACUGAAAGGCUUGAGUCCCGGAGAGGGUGGUGGAAUUCCCAGUGUAGAGGUGAAAUUCGUAGAUAUUGGGAGGAACACCAGUGGCGAAGGCGGCCACCUGGACGGAGACUGACGCUGAGGUGCGAAAGCGUGGGGAGCAAAC
Molecule: ribosomal RNA, 250 nt
Filed under: uncultured bacterium
Lineage: Bacteria
Description: partial 16S ribosomal RNA
Rfam family: Bacterial small subunit ribosomal RNA
Source: RNAcentral